AACGCCGCGUGAGUGAUGAAGGUUUUCGGAUCGUAAAACUCUGUUGUUAGGGAAGAACAAGUACCGUUCAAAUAGGGCGGUACCUUGACGGUACCUAACCAGAAAGCCACGGCUAACUACGUGCCAGCCCCGGCGGUGACUGAGCGGGCUGGCAAGGCGCAUA
This 163-nucleotide ribosomal RNA is filed under the name uncultured bacterium. RNAcentral's name for it is "partial 16S ribosomal RNA". It matches the Rfam family "Bacterial small subunit ribosomal RNA", at positions 393 to 539 of the family's 1533-position model. The record is from RNAcentral.